This 141-nucleotide unclassified non-coding RNA is filed under the name Mycobacterium europaeum. Lineage: Bacteria; Bacillati; Actinomycetota; Actinomycetes; Mycobacteriales; Mycobacteriaceae. The record is from RNAcentral.
AGAGGGAACCCGGUGAGAGCCCGGGACUGUCCCGCAGCGGUAUGCAGGAACGACCGCCGUCAACCAAGCACUGGUCGCAAGACCGGGAAGCGACGGCCAGUAGGAACACCGACAGGUGUGCGCCUGCGAGUCCGAAGACCU